Molecule: ribosomal RNA, 297 nt
Filed under: uncultured Leptolinea sp.
Lineage: Bacteria; Bacillati; Chloroflexota; Anaerolineae; Anaerolineales; Anaerolineaceae
Description: partial 16S ribosomal RNA
Rfam family: Bacterial small subunit ribosomal RNA
Source: RNAcentral
GAGUGUUCGGUUAAGUCCGCUAACGAGCGCAACCCUCGCUGUGUGUUACAAGUGUCACACGGUACUGCCGGUCUUAAGCCGGAGGAAGGUGGGGAUGACGUCAAGUCAGCAUGGCCUUUAUGUCCUGGGCUACACACACGCUACAAUGGCCAACACAAUAGGUUGCUAAGCCGCGAGGUGGAGCCAAUCCUCAAAGUUGGUCUCAGUUCAGAUUGCAGGCUGCAACCCGCCUGCAUGAAGAUGGAGUUGCUAGUAACCGCAGGUCAGCUAUACUGCGGUGAAUACGUUCCGGGGCUU